AGAGUUUGAUCAUGGCUCAGAACGAACGCUGGCGGCAGGCUUAACACAUGCAAGUCGAGCGCCUCGCAAGGGGAGCGGCGGACGGGUGAGUAACGCGUGGGAACAUGCCCUUGGGUGCGGAACAACAGCGGGAAACUGCUGCUAAUACCGCAUGAUGUCUUCGGACCAAAGAUUUAUCGCCCAAGGAUUGGCCCGCGUUGGAUUAGGUAGUUGGUGGGGUAAUGGCCCACCAAGCCGACGAUCCAUAGCUGGUUUGAGAGGAUGACCAGCCACACUGGGACUGAGACACGGCCCAGACUCCUACGGGAGGCAGCAGUGGGGAAUCUUAGACAAUGGGCGCAAGCCUGAUCUAGCCAUGCCGCGUGAGCGAUGAAGGCCUUAGGGUUGUAAAGCUCUUUCACCGGGGAAGAUAAUGACG
This 418-nucleotide ribosomal RNA is filed under the name uncultured bacterium. RNAcentral's name for it is "bacterial SSU rRNA". It matches the Rfam family "Bacterial small subunit ribosomal RNA", at positions 8 to 456 of the family's 1533-position model. The record is from RNAcentral.